This 264-nucleotide long non-coding RNA is filed under the name Coffea arabica (coffee). Its description in RNAcentral is "long non-coding RNA (CARA_LNC006694)". Lineage: Eukaryota; Viridiplantae; Streptophyta; Magnoliopsida; Gentianales; Rubiaceae. The record is from RNAcentral.
AAAGGACAGUCAAAAUCACAUCCAUAUGCAUCAUUAUCUCACAAAAUUUCAUACAUAAGUAGCUUAACAUUCAAAGUCUGUAGAAGGGUGUCCUCAAUCUUACUAUCCACCGUGAAAGCAUCCCAAACCAGAAUUUAGGCCAAACUGGGACAAGAACAUUCCUCCUGGGUUUGGCAGCACUAAAGUUUAUUGAGAUGCCACAAGGAUCGCACAACUCCCCCACUCACUCAUCAGCUAUGCUUACAUUAAGAAUCUCUCUCUAGC